RNAcentral lists this ribosomal RNA (301 nucleotides) under uncultured bacterium. RNAcentral describes it as "partial 16S ribosomal RNA". It matches the Rfam family "Bacterial small subunit ribosomal RNA", at positions 509 to 808 of the family's 1533-position model. The record is from RNAcentral.
CAGCAGCCGCGGUAAUACGGAGGGAGCUAGCGUUGUUCGGAAUUACUGGGCGUAAAGCGCGCGUAGGCGGUUACUCAAGUCAGAGGUGAAAGCCCGGGGCUCAACCCCGGAACUGCCUUUGAAACUAGGUGACUAGAAUCUUGGAGAGGUCAGUGGAAUUCCGAGUGUAGAGGUGAAAUUCGUAGAUAUUCGGAAGAACACCAGUGGCGAAGGCGACUGACUGGACAAGUAUUGACGCUGAGGUGCGAAAGCGUGGGGAGCAAACAGGAUUAGAUACCCUGUAGUCCCUGUCUCUUAUACA